RNAcentral lists this ribosomal RNA (497 nucleotides) under uncultured bacterium. RNAcentral describes it as "partial 16S ribosomal RNA". It matches the Rfam family "Bacterial small subunit ribosomal RNA", at positions 28 to 507 of the family's 1533-position model. The record is from RNAcentral.
GAUGAACGCUGGCGGCGUGCCUAAUACAUGCAAGUCGAGCGAACGGACGAGAAGCUUGCUUCUCUGAUGUUAGCGGCGGACGGGUGAGUAACACGUGGAUAACCUACCUAUAAGACUGGGAUAACUUCGGGAAAACGUAGCUAAUACCGGAUAAUAUUUUGAACCGCAUGGUUCAAAAGUGAAAGACGGUCUUGCUGUCACUUAUAUAUGGAUCCGCGCUGCAUUAGCUAGUUGGUAAGGUAACGGCUUACCAAGGCAACGAUGCAUAGCCGACCUGAGAGGGUGAUCGGCCACACUGGAACUGAGACACGGUCCAGACUCCUACGGGAGGCAGCAGUAGGGAAUCUUCCGCAAUGGGCGAAAGCCUGACGGAGCAACGCCGCGUGAGUGAUGAAGGUCUUCGGAUCGUAAAACUCUGUUAUUAGGGAAGAACAUAUGUGUAAGUAACUGUGCACAUCUUGACGGUACCUAAUCAGAAAGCCACGGCUAACUACGUG